CCUACGGGGGGCUGCAGUGGGGAAUAUUGCACAAUGGGGGAAACCCUGAUGCAGCAACGCCGCGUGAGAGAUGAAGGCCUUCGGGUCGUAAAGCUCUGUCCUAAGGGAAGAAUACUGACGGUACCUUAGGAGGAAGCCCCGGCUAACUACGUGCCAGCAGCCGCGAUAAUACGUAGGGGGCUAGCGUUAUCCGGAAUUACUGGGCGUAAAGGGUGCGUAGGCGGCCCUGCGAGUCAGAGGUGAAAGGCUACAGCUCAAACGUAGUAAGACUUUGAAACUGUAGGGCUUGAGUGCAAGAGAGGAGAGUGGAAUUCCCAGUGUAGCGGUGGAAUGCGUGGAUAUUGGGAGGAACACCAGUGGCGAAGGCGGCUUUCUGGGCUGUAACUGACGCUGUGGCACGAUAGCGUGGGGAGAGAACAGGAUUAGAUACCCUUGUAGUC
RNAcentral lists this ribosomal RNA (440 nucleotides) under uncultured bacterium. Its description in RNAcentral is "bacterial SSU rRNA". It matches the Rfam family "Bacterial small subunit ribosomal RNA", at positions 338 to 795 of the family's 1533-position model. The record is from RNAcentral.